GCACUUUAAGCAGUGAAGAAGACUCCGUGGUUAAUACCCACGGACGAUGACAUUAGCUGCAGAAUAAGCACCGGCUAACUCUGUGCCAGCAGCCGCGGUAAUACAGAGGGUGCAAGCGUUAAUCGGAAUUACUGGGCGUAAAGCGAGCGUAGGUGGCUUGAUAAGUCAGAUGUGAAAUCCCCGGGCUUAACCUGGGAACUGCAUCUGAUACUGUUAGGCUAGAGUAGGUGAGAGGAAGGUAGAAUUCCAGGUGUAGCGGUGAAAUGCGUAGAGAUCUGGAGGAAUACCGAUGGCGAAGGCAGCCUUCUGGCAUCAUACUGACACUGAGGCUCGAAAGCGUGGGUAGCAAACAGGAUUAGAUACCCUGGUAGUCCACGCCGUAAACGAUGUCUACUAGUCGUUGG
RNAcentral lists this ribosomal RNA (404 nucleotides) under uncultured bacterium. RNAcentral describes it as "bacterial SSU rRNA". It matches the Rfam family "Bacterial small subunit ribosomal RNA", at positions 430 to 826 of the family's 1533-position model. The record is from RNAcentral.